CCCAUGGUGUUAGGACCUCUCUGAGGGCAGCGAGGACACGGGGUGCGGGGAACCUUGGCAUUGAUCUUUUCCUUUUCAAGCACAGUGGACACUCCUGAUCAAACCACAGCUUCUCCAAGAGCUUGCUAAUUUUCUGCUCCCCUGCAGCUCUACCUGCCCCUGAACUUGGAAAUUCAAGACAGCUUGCUUUCCAGGCCUGGGGUCUCAGUCUGGUCACUGGCUUUGUCCAGGAGGCUGUCUGCACUCUUCCAUCCCACGGGAGGCUGGAGUGGGGACCCUCAGCACGCAGCCCAGGGUGGUGGCCUGGGCUGGGACCUGGAGAGAUGAACAUCAUCUCAAGAGGUGUCAGUUCACCUAAGUGGCGUGGCAGGUGUGCCAGGCCUCCAAAGCACCAAGCGGACUUUGUAAGGAGUAUGCCAGUGGCAACAGGCCAAGGGGCUAUCUGAUGGAUUCUCCAGGGGUGGAGAUGCUGAGCUCACAGAGCGGCUGCGACAGAAAGGGGAGUGACAUGUCCGUCAUCACAGUGCAUGUGCAUCUGGGGUGCUGCUGAUAUGGGGGCUGGCAGAUACCUCCAUAGGGCGGAGAUGCAGGAGGGAAGGGCCUCUGGUUGGGAUAGGGCAGCCUGACUCUUCCUAUCUCCCCUCCCCGUGCCUGUCCUCUCUUUUCUAUCUGGGCAGUCCCUAGCAGCAGACAGCUCAGCCUGGGGAAGCCGUGUCCGCUUUCACAUUCCCUUCUCCAGGCACCAUCAUUUACAGCCACUAGCAGGAGACAAUCACGAUACCUCCUCCCAGUCUGCCAAAUGGGAGAGUUCUGCAGCCCUCCCUGGGUCAAGACAUGGGGGUGGGGAGGUGGGAGAGGUAUGACAGGAAGGACUUAGCUGUGCUUUUAUAAACAGCAUUGCACAGGCACUUGAAUCACCAGACCACAGUGACACUCCCAGUGUGACAGGGUUACUCCUCAUCACUGAGUGCGGUUCAAUGAUGGGGGGGGGGUGGGGCUGGAGAGAUGGCUUAGCGGUUAAGCACUUGCCUGUGAAGCCUAAGGACCCCGGUUCAAGGCUCGAUUCCCCAGGACC
This is a long non-coding RNA of Jaculus jaculus (lesser Egyptian jerboa), 1075 nucleotides long. RefSeq lists it as uncharacterized. The transcript is spliced from 3 exons. Lineage: Eukaryota; Metazoa; Chordata; Mammalia; Rodentia; Dipodidae. The record is from RefSeq and is a predicted model, not a curated record.